ACUCUUUGUUCUAGGUUCUAUGGCCCUUCUCUGCCCUGGAGCUCCCCACAGAGAGGCUCUGGUCUUCUCUGUCCCAGGCAUGACAGCUAAUACUCUUCCUUUUCCUGCCCUGUCAUUUCCCUCCUCCUCAAACACAGAUUUUCUUUCCUUAGACACGAUUUCUUCCGCUGUGUUAGUCAGAGCCUUGUGGUGUUUGUUUAAAUAAACAAAUCCGUCAUGAAUAUGAUAUGAAAGAAGACUGGACCUUCAGGCUGACUGAUGACGAACAUGAUGAGUUUCUUAAGGAAGCAGGAGUGAGCAGCAAGUACGAGUUUUUGGAGGCACAGAGUGGGGAAGACUUGCUAAGGCUUGAAUGGGCUUGUCUUGGAGCCAGAGGCAAAUCAGUCUUUUCCUCUUCAAAGGAGUCAGUUUUACUGGAAGUACUACAUAUAAUUAAUUACAUAUGCAUUAAUAUCAUGCUGACAGAAAAACAAAAAAGGAAUGUGUUGCCACACAGAAGAUGCAGAACCACUUUUAUGGCCGAAGUGGAACCAUGGUGUGAUACAGCUUCAAGUGAUCUUAAAGAUCAUCUGGCUCUUGAGCAUCCAGUGAAAAGUGGCUUCCUUGGUCUGAAGGUUUGGCCUGUCUAAGACAUUUAGUUAAAAUCAGUGUUUUGCAUCUUUGAUCAGAACAUGUGAACAAAUAGGACAAUUUGGCUUUCUCACAUAGCCACCACCAGCUUCCUUAAAUGACUGUUGCCAGGUGUCACCCUAGCAGGACUGAGCCAUUAAUCAUGGCAAAUGAAGCCGCAGGAGACUUUGCAUCCUGUCGGGAGAUUUAAUAUCAUCCCAAGAGCUGGCAUCUGAGUGCAACGAAC
RNAcentral lists this long non-coding RNA (856 nucleotides) under Equus asinus (donkey). RNAcentral describes it as "lncRNA (ENSEASG00005035005.1)". The record is from RNAcentral. Lineage: Eukaryota; Metazoa; Chordata; Mammalia; Perissodactyla; Equidae.